RNAcentral lists this ribosomal RNA (494 nucleotides) under uncultured bacterium. RNAcentral describes it as "partial 16S ribosomal RNA". It matches the Rfam family "Bacterial small subunit ribosomal RNA", at positions 28 to 507 of the family's 1533-position model. The record is from RNAcentral.
GACGAACGCUGGCGGCGUGCUUAACACAUGCAAGUCGAACGGUGAAGCGCCUUCCUUUUUGGUGGGUGUGGAUGAGUGGCGAACGGGUGAGUAACACGUGAGUAACCUGCCCCCUUCUUCUGGAUAACCGCAUGAAAGUGUGGCUAAUACGGGAUAUUCUGUGUCUGUCGCAUGAUGGGUCUGGGAAAGAUAUUGUUUCGGUGGGGGAUGGGCUCGCGGCCUAUCAGCUUGUUGGUGGGGUGAUGGCCUACCAAGGCGGUGACGGGUAGCCGGCCUGAGAGGGUGGACGGUCACACUGGGACUGAGACACGGCCCAGACUCCUACGGGAGGCAGCAGUGGGGAAUAUUGCACAAUGGGCGAAAGCCUGAUGCAGCGACGCCGCGUGAGGGAUGGAGGCCUUCGGGUUGUGAACCUCUUUCGCCAGUGAAGCAGGCCUGCCUCGUUUGUGGGUGGGUUGACGGUAGCUGGAUAAGAAGCGCCGGCUAACUACGUG